GAGGUUAUGGCUCAGUGGUAGAGCACUUGCCUAGCAUGUAUGAGACUUGGGUUCGAUCCUCAGCUUCA
This 68-nucleotide transfer RNA is filed under the name Marmota monax (woodchuck). It matches the Rfam family "tRNA". Rfam says of the family: Transfer RNA (tRNA) molecules are approximately 80 nucleotides in length. Their secondary structure includes four short double-helical elements and three loops (D, anti-codon, and T loops). Further hydrogen bonds mediate the characteristic L-shaped molecular structure. tRNAs have two regions of fundamental functional importance: the anti-codon, which is responsible for specific mRNA codon recognition, and the 3' end, to which the tRNAs corresponding amino acid is attached (by aminoacyl-tRNA synthetases). tRNAs cope with the degeneracy of the genetic code in two manners: having more than one tRNA (with a specific anti-codon) for a particular amino acid; and 'wobble' base-pairing, i.e. permitting non-standard base-pairing at the 3rd anti-codon position. Lineage: Eukaryota; Metazoa; Chordata; Mammalia; Rodentia; Sciuridae. The record is from Rfam by way of RNAcentral.